Molecule: ribosomal RNA, 444 nt
Filed under: bacterium Ellin5212
Lineage: Bacteria; Pseudomonadati; Pseudomonadota; Gammaproteobacteria
Description: bacterial SSU rRNA
Rfam family: Bacterial small subunit ribosomal RNA
Source: RNAcentral
AUUGAACGCUGGCGGCGUGCCUACCACAUGCAAGUCGAGCGGUAACAGGUGUAGCAAUACAUGCUGACGAGCGGCGAACGGGUGAGUAAUGCUUCGGAAUCUACCUUAUGGUGGGGAAUAACUAGCCGAAAGGUUAGCUAAUACCGCAUACGUCCUACGGGAGAAAGCAGGGGAUCGUAAGACCUUGCGCCAAAAGAUGAGCCGAAGUCGGAUUAGCUAGUUGGUAGGGUAACGGCCUACCAAGGCGACGAUCCGUAGCUGGUCUGAGAGGACGACCAGCCACACUGGGACUGAGACACGGCCCAGACUCCUACGGGAGGCAGCAGUGGGGAAUAUUGGACAAUGGGGGAAACCCUGAUCCAGCGACGCCGCGUGUGUGAAGAAGGCCUGCGGGUUGUAAAGCACUUUUAGUGGGGAUGAAAUGUGCAGGGUUAAUACCUCUGC